UAGGGAAUCUUCGGCAAUGGACGAAAGUCUGACCGAGCAACGCCGCGUGAGUGAAGAAGGUUUUCGGAUCGUAAAACUCUGUUGUGAGAGAAGAACAAGGACGUUAGUAACUGAACGUCCCCUGACGGUAUCUAACCAGAAAGCCACGGCUAACUACGUGCCAGCAGCCGCGGUAAUACGUAGGUGGCAAGCGUUGUCCGGAUUUAUUGGGCGUAAAGCGAGCGCAGGCGGUUUCUUAAGUCUGAUGUGAAAGCCCCCGGCUCAACCGGGGAGGGUCAUUUGAAACUGGGAGACUUGAGUGCAGAAGAGGAGAGUGGAAUUCCAUGUGUAGCGGUGAAAUGCGUAGAUAUAUGGAGGAACACCAGUGGCGAAGGCGGCUCUCUGGUCUGUAACUGACGCUGAGGCUCGAAAGCGUGGGGAGCAAACAGG
RNAcentral lists this ribosomal RNA (429 nucleotides) under Gemmatimonadota bacterium. RNAcentral describes it as "Gemmatimonadetes bacterium partial 16S ribosomal RNA". It matches the Rfam family "Bacterial small subunit ribosomal RNA", at positions 355 to 776 of the family's 1533-position model. Lineage: Bacteria; Pseudomonadati; Gemmatimonadota. The record is from RNAcentral.